Molecule: non-coding RNA, 74 nt
Organism: Nippostrongylus brasiliensis
Lineage: Eukaryota; Metazoa; Nematoda; Chromadorea; Rhabditida; Heligmosomidae
Source: Rfam
ACAUCGGUAGCACAGUGGGGUUAGUGCAGUCUGCCGGAAACAGAAAGACGCGGGUUCAUUUCCCGUCCGAUGUC